Long non-coding RNA from Hemicordylus capensis (graceful crag lizard), 3308 nucleotides. RefSeq lists it as uncharacterized. The record is from RefSeq and is a predicted model, not a curated record. Lineage: Eukaryota; Metazoa; Chordata; Lepidosauria; Squamata; Cordylidae. The transcript has 3 exons.
GGGCGACCCUGGCAGGGAGCGGGGGAGGGGAGGAGGAAAUAAAAUAAAUAAAUGGGCCGAGUCCUUCGGGUUCUCUUACUGGCUGCACGUGCAGCUGCCCGGUUCUCUCAUUGGUCGGCUUGAGGAGCAAGUGUCACUUCCCAACGUGCUGCUUCUCCCACCACACUCUUAAAAAACAAAAACCGAAGCGAUCUACAGAGGGGUACCGCGUCAGGCUCUGCUCUCAUCUCAUCUCAUCUCAGGACGUUUCGGAACCCAGAUUCGGAAUCGCAGCAGCUCGAUCCGAAUCUGCGCGCGCCAGUCUCUUGACCCUUAAGCAAAGCAACAAAAAAGUCAUUUGCCACGUGACAUGGAGGGCUGCUGCUGUCUGAAAAACACAAGUUAUCUUAGGAAGCGCCGCCUUCUGCACGAUCUCCAGCACACGCAUGUUAAGGUCAUCUGAGGAAGUCUGUCUUCAGUUACCACCACAUCUGGUGGCGACUCAGAGGGAAGUAUCUGAUACCAUUCCAUGUGCCGAUCUGAUUUACAAGACCAGAAGGAAUGAUGAAAAGUGGGGAUAGCUCUUUUGACGUUGAUUGAAGACCAUUUCAAGGAAGUAGAAACGGAGCGGCAGUCGAGCUGAAAUGAUGGGUUGCAGCAGACCACCUGGUAGCAACGAUGAGGCAAGCUCCCAUUUCUCUGGGAGAAAGGUCAAACAAAGACUUCUUCUGACAUUUGUGUUACUGUGGCCCUUCGGCGUGUGUCACUUGUCCCCAAUCACAGGGAACUGAGGAAUGACCGUCUCUGGAAAAGAAAUGGGUGAUGCAGCAAAAAACACAUCCUUGAUGGAUUUUGGAACUGGUAACAACAUCUUAUGAAGUGACUGCAUCCAUUUCUGCAUCCCUGACUGAUGCUAGAUUCCCAGACUUUAAUCAACAAAGUAUUUAUUUGCAUUUGUUUUCUUUGAUUUUUGCUGGCAUGUCUGUGAUGAGUUGUGUCUCACAUUGUGUAACUACAUUCUAUAACAUUCUCUCUCUCUCUCUCUCUCUCUCUCUCUCACACACACACACACACACACACACACACACACACACGUCAAAGGAAUGCAUAAUCCAGUAAGAGCAGAUGCCUUGUCAGCAUUUGAAACCUUUAGAUAGUCCAUCACCCCUACACUCAGAGAUAACCAUUUGUUCCACUGGAUUUAGUAUUCCUUAGACCAAGUGACGGUAAAACAAAAGGUUGAGAACUGUGUUGGGAUAUUUGGCUCUAUCAAAUUGUAGCAUAUCAUGACAUCCAGAUUAAGUUACUCAACCGUACAGUGUCAGCCAGUGGCCAACAUGGUGCACAGUGGGACGCCGCUGUUCCUAACUCCCUAGGCAGACCUAGGUGGUUGCCUAGGACACCAAAAUUUUGGGUCACAGGUGUGAGCACCGCUGACCCCUGCAGUGAAUAGCUAUGGUGGCUCCCAGCGGCAGCUGAGGCAGGGGAUAGUGGUGAAGAAGCAGAUUAUACCUUUUAAAUUUUGCAAAAUGUUCUGCCACUGCUGCCCAGCUCCAUGUAGAGUCUACCACACCAUAUGCUCCACUUCUGCUGCUCAGCUGGCUGAUGCCUAUGUGCACUAGCCACUUGAGGGGCCUGCCCAGUAAAAAAACCUGUCCUCAACUGAUACCCCACCAUGGCCAACCCCAAAACCAGAUGUGUCACAGUCUGCCUAUUAGUGCAGCUGACACACGCAGACAUGCACCCACGCCACUGCCAUGGCCCAGUUGGAGUUGCCAAAAGAGCUUAUCUUGGGGCUGCAAACAGCACCUCUCUAUAUGAUUUGGAACUGUGGGACCACAGCUUCCAUUUGGGCACACCUGAGCUCACAGGACCAUGAACUCUGCACAUGCCUAUAUUUGGCAAACUAUGCAAGUUGGUCGCUUAGCACAAGCAAAGCAUGGAGCAAUGCAGCCCUAGGUCACCAUAACAAAGGACUGAAGAGAAUCAUCCCCAAAAACCUCUCUUUGGCUGACCUUCAAAGAGAAGGAAAAGCUGGCAAAGUAGACCUCAGGCUAAAAACAUACUCUCAGAGGGAAUAGCUAACUCCCUCCUGGCAAAGCCAACUCUCCUCCGCAGUAACUCAGAUAAGCGUGGAACAUCACCACCCCACUGUCAACAACCUAAUGAGCUGGCGAGGACUAAGGAACCAAGUCCUUAAGGUUUAAGAAAAUCUUAUCUCUCCACCUGGAAAGACAUCUUGUGCCCUGAUGAUGGAUGAUUGUCAGGUGCCAUGACUCAUGUGUUAGGUUGUCAGCUGGGGCCCAGCAUGAAUCUGACGCCAUGGUGUUAUCCCGAUAUAGGCAGGCAAGCAGCAGUUCUUGGGAUAUAUGCUGGAGAAAAAGAGAGGAAAGAAGAGUUAUUCUCAUGGUAAGAGUCUAGAAGCUUUGUUUUGCGUCACACCAUUGGUCCAUCUAUAGUAUUGUCAACAGUACACACUGACUCUUCAGACAGCUAAGCUCAGAGAUGAGCUGACCAUGCCAUGACUGCUCUAUCCUCCUGUCUUUCUGUGGCAGGCAGGAUGGAAGAAAGGAAGGUUUGAUUUUGUGGUUUUCUCAGCACGGGGUAUAAUAUGCUGUGCUAUGGCUGCUGUAACUAACCGGUUUUUCUGGGUUUCAGAUUGACAAAGGCAGAACUUGAGUGCCUGCCUUCCUUCUAGUUGUGGUUUGUUUUGUUUGUGAGAUAGUGGUGUGUGUGUGUGUGUAAGUGUAAUAUUUAUUGGUGAUUGCUGUAAUGAGCUCCAUGUCUGGCCUUGAGACUAAAUUGUGCUUCACUCACUGCUCUGGUCUGCUCUGCAAUCUGCAUUGCAAAGUGUACUCAGUCAAAACUUCAGUGGCUGAAGUUGCUCUAAUUGAGCGUUAUGCUUGCUGCUAACAGUGCUCCUGUGGCAGCUGUUGCAAUGCUAGUAAGUAACAUAAGGAGUUAUAAUUGUGUGUGAGAGAGCAACAUGUGCCAUUGAUCUUACUGCAGAGCAAGCACUGUGGCUGGCAGUGAAUUCUGGGUCAGUGAUUAUUUUUUCGCCAUUUCUGGACUGUGUUUGCAUUCUGUGUUGGGAGGGACAGAUUCCUUUUUACUGUGUGCUUCUGCAGUGUUUCUCAAGGCAGGGCUGCAAAAUGGAAAAUGGAAUGUUCGCGAUGGAACGAUUUGCAAUGCAGAAUUUGUGUGCAGUGCACUCUGUGGCUUGUUCUGGCCAUAGGGAACAAUGAGGAAAAUCAAAACAUCCCAUUGUUUCCCAAUUCUAGCUCCGAGGGACACCAAAGUGGAUUGUGUGGUAGGGCAUGAUGGGUGCU